UCCAUUUACAAAGGAUUAGGUCUUCUAUCAUCCCGUUUCCUGCUUUGAUCGAGCAAAUGGCGACGAAUUCAAAACGAUGAGGCCGUGGGAAAUUCGAUUGAAAGGAACACGAAUCGAUCAUAAGGGGAAAAACGCAGAGGCAACAACAAAACGAAAUCGGAGGCAUAGUGGAUUUGGGGUUUCGGUCGUAGUGUGGUCGGGGAGAAUCACGAAGGAAUACACGAACAAGAGCUUGUAAGGGGCGAGGUUUUCAAUCUCCGAUGAGCAACUAGAUGAAGAACAAGGGAGAAGCAGCGAGAUGGGGCUGUUGCUCCGAUCGAAGCAGGUCAGGAGGUGGAGAGGUGCACCGUGGAUGGGUGCGAGAGCUGGUUCGUUUGAAGCAACAACAACCCCAGGAGGGUGUUCGACGGUGUUUGUUGAUGGGGGAAGGGGCAAAGGAGGGCAUCGAUCUCCAGUGGGCUCCCUUGGUGCGUUUGGUUCGUCUCUGGCAGUCUCAUUCGAGGAAGGAGUCUUCGGUUUCAUCUGUCCGAAAAAUGAACGGACCAAAUCAAAUCGACGGGGCAUGGCAGCUCUAGUCAGCAGGAAGACUAAGGAGGCGAUGGAGGAAGUUGAUGCCCGAUGGCUUCUGGGUUUCUCUUCUCCUGGUCCGAUCAAAAGCAAACGCGAAGGAAAUGGGAAACGUCUGGAUUGAAGAGCAAGGACGAAACAGAAGUUACCCUGAUCAAUAGAGAAGGAAUGAGAGAAAGGGUGGGUUGUGGAGGUUGCGCAGUGGCCUUACAGUCGGUGGUUCUCAGGAAGCGAUAUGAAGAAGAACGGAGAUGGUAGCAGUGAAUCAACAAACAGGUAAAGAGGUUUUUUUUUGUUUUUGAUAAAUGUCGAUGUUGUAUUUGGGAUGUGUGUUUGUUGAUUGAGAUUGACAGGAAGAAUAUGAAGAAGAAUUGUGUAUGGGUUCAUUGACUGGGUACAAGGAAGGAAAAGGGAAGGAGUGAAGCAACGUCCAUCUCCAGCGACCAGCAAGAAGAGAAGGAACCGCUAGGGAACAGUGGUGUGAAGGAGUGCAUGCUUCAGUUAAGAAGUGAAAAAGAAACACGUUUCAGCUGGCUGUCCUUUUAUUUGUUUAUUUAUUUACUUAUUUAUUUAUUUGUAUUUAUGUAUAUGUAUGUAUCUGAUUUGUAUUAUGUAUUUGUUUUAUUAUGUAAUGCAUGUAUAAGUUGUAAUUAAUAAAUUUCUAUAUGUAUCACUACUAGAAA
Molecule: long non-coding RNA, 1250 nt
Organism: Lactuca sativa (garden lettuce)
Lineage: Eukaryota; Viridiplantae; Streptophyta; Magnoliopsida; Asterales; Asteraceae
Source: RefSeq, a predicted model, not a curated record